This 30-nucleotide non-coding RNA is filed under the name Mus musculus (house mouse). Lineage: Eukaryota; Metazoa; Chordata; Mammalia; Rodentia; Muridae. The record is from RNAcentral.
UAUCAAGAUUGACAAUGUUAUGGAUGUGGC